GAAAAAAUUACGCUUGGUAGUAAUCAGCCACGACGAUCGACGGGGAAAGAUUGGUGUAAAUCCAACGCUGUCCCGCAACUGUAAUGUGUUUGAGAUGUCAUAACUUCAUAACCAGAUCGUGUUAGAUCUCAAAUUAACUUAAGUCAGAACACCCGUUGGUUACAGUAAAUCAAG
Molecule: non-coding RNA, 174 nt
Filed under: Chamaesiphon minutus PCC 6605
Lineage: Bacteria; Bacillati; Cyanobacteriota; Cyanophyceae; Gomontiellales; Chamaesiphonaceae
Also listed under: 1 other name
Source: RNAcentral